Molecule: long non-coding RNA, 379 nt
Organism: Aplysia californica (California sea hare)
Lineage: Eukaryota; Metazoa; Mollusca; Gastropoda; Aplysiida; Aplysiidae
Exons: 3
Source: RefSeq, a predicted model, not a curated record
AUGUUGGCUGUAAGUGUAAGAGAGUUUCGAGACGACCACUUUAGCACACAAAUGCUAAGAAUUACAGUUCUUACGACACUUAAAAUUGCUGUUCUGAACGACGAGAGACAUGGCCGGGAGACCUACAGCGCCCUCAAUCCACCCACUCCAGGAAAAAGACCGGUUGUCCGACAACAAGGAACGAGGAGGAAGUUUCUUGCCCAUAAUUGACAGUUCCGAGAAUCAGAAAGUGGCAUCGCCCGCAGGAAAGAAAAAGAUUAAGUUGUAUUCCAACAAAGUUUUUAUCCCGUUCUAUAAAAGGUAUGUAGACAUCCUCCCUCCGAACGAGCAGAUCUUGUUUCAGCCGUACGAGGAGAUAGACCACAGAGAGGAAGGUAUC